RNAcentral lists this ribosomal RNA (820 nucleotides) under uncultured bacterium. RNAcentral describes it as "bacterial SSU rRNA". It matches the Rfam family "Bacterial small subunit ribosomal RNA", at positions 56 to 922 of the family's 1533-position model. The record is from RNAcentral.
UGCAAGUCGAACGAACCUUCGGGUUAGUGGCGGACGGGUGAGUAACGCGUGAGAAUCUGCCCUCAGGAGGGGGACAACAGCUGGAAACGGCUGCUAAUACCCCAUAUGCCGCGAGGUGAAAUGAAUUUCGCCUGAGGAUGAGCUCGCGUCUGAUUAGCUAGUUGGUGUAGGUAAUGGCUCACCAAGGCAUCGAUCAGUAGCUGGUCUGAGAGGAUGAUCAGCCACACUGGGACUGAGACACGGCCCAGACUCCUACGGGAGGCAGCAGUGGGGAAUUUUCCGCAGUGGGCGAAAGCCUGACGGAGCAACGCCGCGUGAGGGAUGAAGGCCUCUGGGCUGUAAACCUCUUUUAUCAAGGAAGAAGAUCUGACGGUACUUGAUGAAUAAGCCACGGCUAAUUCCGUGCCAGCAGCCGCGGUAAUACGGGAGUGGCAAGCGUUAUCCGGAAUUAUUGGGCGUAAAGCGUCCGCAGGCGGCCCUUCAAGUCUGCUGUUAAAAAGUGGAGCUUAACUCCAUCAUGGCAGUGGAAACUGUUGGGCUUGAGUGUGGUAGGGGCAGAGGGAAUUCCCGGUGUAGCGGUGAAAUGCGUAUAUAUCGGGAAGAACACCAGUGGCGAAGGCGCUCUGCUGGGCCAUCACUGACGCUCAUGGACGAAAGCCAGGGGAGCGAAAGGGAUUAGAUACCCCUGUAGUCCUGGCCGUAAACGAUGAACACUAGGUGUCGGGGGAAUCGACCCCCUCGGUGUCGUACCAACGCGUUAAGUGUUCCGCCUGGGGAGUACGCACGCAAAUGUGAAACUCAAAGGAAUUGACGGGGGGCC